RNAcentral lists this ribosomal RNA (458 nucleotides) under uncultured Anaerolineaceae bacterium. Its description in RNAcentral is "bacterial SSU rRNA". It matches the Rfam family "Bacterial small subunit ribosomal RNA", at positions 916 to 1381 of the family's 1533-position model. Lineage: Bacteria; Bacillati; Chloroflexota; Anaerolineae; Anaerolineales; Anaerolineaceae. The record is from RNAcentral.
GACGGGCCCCGCACAAGCAGCGGAGCGUGUGGUUUAAUUCGAUGCUACACGAAGAACCUUACCAGGGUUUGACAUACAAGUAGUAGGGAAAGGAAACUGGACCGACCCUUCGGGGAGCUUGAACAGGUGCUGCAUGGCUGUCGUCAGCUCGUGUCGUGAGAUGUUCGGUUAAGUCCGCUAACGAGCGCAACCCUCGCUGUGUGUUACAAGUGUCACACGGAACUGCCGGUCAUAAACCGGAGGAAGGUGGGGAUGACGUCAAGUCAGCAUGGCCUUUAUAUCCUGGGCCACACACACGCUACAAUGGGAAGGGACAAUAGGUUGCGAAGCCGCGAGGCGGAGCCAAUCCAGCAAAACUUCCCUCAGUUCAGAUUGCAGGCUGCAACUCGCCUGCAUGAAGUUGGAGUUGCUAGUAAACGCAGGUCAGCCAUACUGCGUUGAAUACGUUCCCGGGGCUU